RNAcentral lists this ribosomal RNA (465 nucleotides) under uncultured bacterium. RNAcentral describes it as "partial 16S ribosomal RNA". It matches the Rfam family "Bacterial small subunit ribosomal RNA", at positions 28 to 507 of the family's 1533-position model. The record is from RNAcentral.
GACGAACGCUGGCGGCGUGCUUAACACAUGCAAGUCGUACGGUAAGGCCCUUUCGGGGGUACACGAGUGGCGAACGGGUGAGUAACACGUGAGUAACCUGCCCACAACUUUGGGAUAACGCUAGGAAACUGGUGCUAAUACUGGAUAUGUGCUCCUGCUGCAUGGUGGGGGUUGGAAAGCUCCGGCGGUUGUGGAUGGACUCGCGGCCUAUCAGCUUGUUGGUGGGGUAGUGGCCUACCAAGGCGGCGACGGGUAGCCGGCCUGAGGGGGUGACCGGCCACAUUGGGACUGAGAUACGGCCCAGACUCCUACGGGAGGCAGCAGUGGGGAAUAUUGCACAAUGGGCGCAAGCCUGAUGCAGCAACGCCGCGUGCGGGAUAACGGCCUUCGGGUUGUAAACCGCCUUCAGCAGGGACGAAGCUUUUUGUGACGGUACCUGCAGAAGAAGCACCGGCUAACUACGUG